CAGCCGCCGCGGGAAUAUGGAGGGGGCUAGCGUUGUUCGGAAUUACUGGGCGUAAAGCGCACGUAGGCGGCUUGGUAAGUUAGAGGUGAAAGCCCGGAGCUCAACUCCGGAAUUGCCUUUAAGACUGCCGAGCUAGUAGGUGAGAGAGGUAAGUGGAAUUCCGAGUGUAGAGGUGAAAUUCGUAGAUAUUCGGAAGAACACCAGUGGCGAAGGCGGCUUACUGGCUCAUUCUAGACGCUGAGGUGCGAAAGCGUGGGGAGCAAACAGGAUUAGAUACCCGUGUAGUCCCUGUCUCUUAUAC
RNAcentral lists this ribosomal RNA (301 nucleotides) under uncultured bacterium. RNAcentral describes it as "partial 16S ribosomal RNA". It matches the Rfam family "Bacterial small subunit ribosomal RNA", at positions 509 to 807 of the family's 1533-position model. The record is from RNAcentral.